Molecule: small RNA, 146 nt
Filed under: Pongo abelii (Sumatran orangutan)
Lineage: Eukaryota; Metazoa; Chordata; Mammalia; Primates; Hominidae
Description: Metazoan signal recognition particle RNA (ENSPPYG00000034757.1)
Source: Rfam by way of RNAcentral
GCCGGGCGUGGUGACGCAUGCCUGUAAUCCCAGCUACUGGGAGGCUGAGGCAGAAGAAUCGCUUGAACCCAGGAGGCAGAGGUUGCAGUGAGCUGAGAACGCGCCACUGUACUCCAGCCUGGCAACAGAGCGAGACUCCGUCUCAA